RNAcentral lists this transfer RNA (76 nucleotides) under Oscillospiraceae bacterium. RNAcentral describes it as "tRNA-Thr". It matches the Rfam family "tRNA". From Rfam's summary of the family: Transfer RNA (tRNA) molecules are approximately 80 nucleotides in length. Their secondary structure includes four short double-helical elements and three loops (D, anti-codon, and T loops). Further hydrogen bonds mediate the characteristic L-shaped molecular structure. tRNAs have two regions of fundamental functional importance: the anti-codon, which is responsible for specific mRNA codon recognition, and the 3' end, to which the tRNAs corresponding amino acid is attached (by aminoacyl-tRNA synthetases). tRNAs cope with the degeneracy of the genetic code in two manners: having more than one tRNA (with a specific anti-codon) for a particular amino acid; and 'wobble' base-pairing, i.e. permitting non-standard base-pairing at the 3rd anti-codon position. The record is from RNAcentral. Lineage: Bacteria; Bacillati; Bacillota; Clostridia; Eubacteriales; Oscillospiraceae. RNAcentral also lists the same sequence under 1 other name.
GCUGGUGUAGUUCAGUUGGUAGAACGAUUGAUUUGUAAUCAAUAUGUCGGGAGUUCAAAUCUCUCCAUCAGCUCCA